Salmo salar (Atlantic salmon) is the source of this 1135-nucleotide non-coding RNA. Lineage: Eukaryota; Metazoa; Chordata; Actinopteri; Salmoniformes; Salmonidae. The record is from RefSeq and is a predicted model, not a curated record.
AGUGUUUAAAACUGGAUAUUUAAGGGGAGAAGAAGAACUAAACCAGACCAGCAGUCCUGAUCUCACCACCGAUCUACCUCUCCAUUUGGAGGGAAAGAACUACAACACCACCUACAGCUGUGUGGCUCCUAUUAGCAAUUGGACAGUCCCAAAAUGUUGCAGUGAAGAUGGUCAUCCUAAUGAUGCAGGAGGAGCGAAGAGGUAUACCAGAACUGGAGUCACAUAGAGGCAACCCUGAACUGGCAUCAGUUUAUGAUACACUCCAGUUACAUCGCAAGGCUGCCAGCGGGGAUGUUGACACGGCAUGAAGGAGCGAAAUGGGAAGUCACUGAGAGGCUGGAGAGGACGGUGUAUCAAUUAAACAAAAUUUUAUUAAAAAAAUAUUCACCCAGAAAACAUUUUAGAGGCACACUUGUUAUGGGAGAACAUUCCCCUGGAACUGUUGAGCUAAUGUUAUAUUUUCAGGCUUUUUUUGUAGGUCAUUCUCACAGACCUGCCAAAUAAAGGCCUCGAUGACAUCCACUGAUACAGACCAAUUCAAUAACUAUGCAUUGAGUUAUUAGCAGGAUCAGGAUAAUCCUUUUUUUAAAUGCCUUUUGUACCAAAUCCCAAUUUAUAUGUUGAAACAAAUGGAACCCAUAUUUUAAUACAAUUCACCAGUGUGUUUGCUCGGGGUGCAACUUUGGUUUUAGAAGUGGGGGGGGCAUGACUUUUUAUUUUAUUUUAUGAUUUUUUUCAAAUCCAGUCAGAUAAACACUCCAAACAGCCUACCCAGCAGCUUGGAGGCGUCCUCAUGGUCCUAAAGCACAAAAAUGCUAUUUCAGAAUGUGGGGGGAACCCCCGUCCCCAGUGAAAGAUGUGUCCCUGGUGUUUACUAUGCUACUGCUGGGCUAAAGCUUCUUUUCUGUACUGACUGUUCUGUUGUUUAAUUGUAGGUCCCUCCCCUGCGUCUUUUUAUAGCUGGUAAUUGUUUAGCUUGCCAGUGUAUAGCAGCUGUUUACAUAAAAGGGCAGGCGUUUGAGAUAAAGACACCUUCUCCUUAGCAGCAAAGGCUGUUAUGGCUCGUGUUCACGAGCAUGAGCUAAAUUGCCGUGAGCCGCUUAGGCCGCCCAGAGUGGCUCGCUUGUGGGCGUGC